UUAUGGGGUGAACUCCCCUCUUUACA
RNAcentral lists this transfer RNA (26 nucleotides) under Tympanocryptis cf. cephalus LPS-2008. Its description in RNAcentral is "partial tRNA-Tyr". The record is from RNAcentral. Lineage: Eukaryota; Metazoa; Chordata; Lepidosauria; Squamata; Agamidae.